This 622-nucleotide ribosomal RNA is filed under the name uncultured bacterium. Its description in RNAcentral is "bacterial SSU rRNA". The stretch from base 1 to 544 matches the Rfam family "Bacterial small subunit ribosomal RNA", at positions 338 to 873 of the family's 1533-position model. The record is from RNAcentral.
CCUACGGGAGGCAGCAGUGGGGAAUCUUGCGCAAUGCGCGAAAGCGUGACGCAGCAACGCCGCGUGAGGGAAGACGGCCUUCGGGUUGUAAACCUCUUUCAGUUGGGACGAAGCCACGGCGGUUAAUACCCGUCUGUGGUGACGGUACCUUCAGAAGAAGCCCCGGCUAACUACGUGCCAGCAGCCGCGGUAAUACGUAGGGGGCAAGCGUUGUCCGGAAUCAUUGGGCGUAAAGCGCGUGUAGGCGGCUUGGUAAGUCCGCUCUGAAAGCCCGGGGCUCAACCCCGGGAGGCGGGUGGAUACUGUCAAGCUCGAGUCCGGAAGAGGCGAGUGGAAUUCCUGGUGUAGCGGUGAAAUGCGCAGAUAUCAGGAGGAACACCAAUGGCGAAGGCAGCUCGCUGGGACGUGACUGACGCUGAGACGCGAAAGCGUGGGGAGCAAACAGGAUUAGAUACCCUGGUAGUCCACGCCGUAAACGAUGGGCACUAGGUGUGGGAGGUGUCGACUCCUCCCGUGCCGAAGCUAACGCAUUAAGUGCCCCGCCUGGGGAGGACGGCCGCGACGACGAACACAANAGAGUAGACGGCGUGAGACGNGCGACGGACGACGACGAGGGAGGAGG